UCCUCGGUCAUUAAACAAGGAAGGUGUAGU
Molecule: non-coding RNA, 30 nt
Filed under: Mus musculus (house mouse)
Lineage: Eukaryota; Metazoa; Chordata; Mammalia; Rodentia; Muridae
Source: RNAcentral